Molecule: ribosomal RNA, 703 nt
Filed under: uncultured bacterium
Lineage: Bacteria
Description: bacterial SSU rRNA
Rfam family: Bacterial small subunit ribosomal RNA
Source: RNAcentral
CAGUCGAACGAGAGAAGAGAAGCUUGCUUUUCUGAUCUAGUGGCGGACGGGUGAGUCACACGUGAGCAAUCUGCCUUUCAGAGGGGGAUACCGAUUGGAAACGAUCGUUAAUACCGCAUAACAUAAUUGAACUGCAUGAUUUGAUUAUCAAAGAUUUAUCGCUGAAAGAUGAGCUCGCGUCUGAUUAGCUAGUUGGUAAGGUAACGGCUUACCAAGGCGACGAUCAGUAGCCGGACUGAGAGGUUGAUCGGCCACAUUGGGACUGAGACACGGCCCAGACUCCUACGGGAGGCAGCAGUGGGGAAUAUUGCACAAUGGAGGAAACUCUGAUGCAGCGAUGCCGCGUGAGGGAAGAAGGUUUUAGGAUUGUAAACCUCUGUCUUCAGGGACGAAAAAAAAGACGGUACCUGAGGAGGAAGCUCCGGCUAACUAAGUGCCAGCAGCCGCGGUAAUACGUAGGGAGCGAGCGUUGUCCGGAAUUACUGGGUGUAAAGGGAGCGUAGGCGGGAUCGCAAGUCAGAUGUGAAAACUAUGGGCUUAACCCAUAAACUGCAUUUGAAACUGUGGUUCUUGAGUGAAGUAGAGGUAAGCGGAAUUCCUAGUGUAGCGGUGAAAUGCGUAGAUAUUAGGAGGAACACCAGUGGCGAAGGCGGCUUACUGGACGAUAACUGACGCUGAGGCUCGAAAGCGUGGGGAGCAAACA